Molecule: long non-coding RNA, 558 nt
Organism: Trichomycterus rosablanca
Lineage: Eukaryota; Metazoa; Chordata; Actinopteri; Siluriformes; Trichomycteridae
Exons: 4
Source: RefSeq, a predicted model, not a curated record
GACCAGCUCCUGCUUCACGUUCUGAUGGAGGCAAAAAGAAAGAAAUGCCAAGUGAAUAUACGCGAGUUUGGCGAGUCAUGACCGGCUACGUCUGAGGGAGCGGCCGAAGCCAAGCGAUGGAUUGGUGCCCUGUUCAGGGUAAACCUGCCUAGCAUCCGGUGUUUUACAGUGGACCUGAACCUGCUGUGACCCUGACCAAAGACAAAGCAGCUGAUUUCUGAGGCGAAAACAGAAGCCGUUUUGGACACGCCCCGCUCUCCCCUGCCUCUGAAGAGCACUGGCUUUACUCACAAAGGUCUCCACCAGAGAACUCAUCUGACUGCUCUCAUGUUUUGCCCGUGUCGAUGACGAACACCACAUCUGGAAUAGUGACUCCAGUCUCAGCGAUGUUGGUAGACAGCACGAUCUGAAACACACACACACACACACACACACCAGAGACACGUAUGACAAGGUUAACUUCUAGUUUCUUAGGAAAUGACGUGACUUUAAGCUUUAAAAACGUAAAUGCCUCCCUAAAGCCAGUCUUAGGUUUGUCUGUCUAAAUAAAGUCCACAC